Molecule: ribosomal RNA, 497 nt
Filed under: uncultured bacterium
Lineage: Bacteria
Description: partial 16S ribosomal RNA
Rfam family: Bacterial small subunit ribosomal RNA
Source: RNAcentral
GAUGAACGCUGGCGGCGUGCCUAAUACAUGCAAGUCGAGCGAACGGACGAGAAGCUUGCUUCUCUGAUGUUAGCGGCGGACGGGUGAGUAACACGUGGGUAACCUACCUAUAAGACUGGGAUAACUUCGGGAAACCGGAGCUAAUACCGGAUAAUAUUUUGAACCGCAUGGUUCAAAAGUGAAAGACGGUCUUGCUGUCACUUAUAGAUGGAUCCGCGCUGCAUUAGCUAGUUGGUAAGGUAACGGCUUACCAAGGCAACGAUGCAUAGCCGACCUGAGAGGGUGAUCGGCCACACUGGAACUGAGACACGGUCCAGACUCCUACGGGAGGCAGCAGUAGGGAAUCUUCCGCAAUGGGCGAAUGCCUGACGGAGCAACGCCGCGUGAGUGAUGAAGGUCUUCGGAUCGUAAAACUCUGUUAUUAGGGAAGAACAUAUGUGUAAGUAACUGUGCACAUCUUGACGGUACCUAAUCAGAAAGCCACGGCUAACUACGCG